UAGAACGCACUACCGAACAUAGGGAUGUUACGUUCAAAUCAUCAUAAAACCCAUAAAAGGGGUCUGCAACACACAAAUGUCCCAAAUGCAAGGAAAAAACUAUAUGUCAUUCAUAUAAAGCUCAUUCAAAACAAAUUUCAAGUUAAAAACAAAAAGGAAAGUUAGUUGUGCACAAACCUUCAAUGACCUCCUUUCUCUUUACUUACUUAUCCUCUGUCCCAACCUCUUUUUCUACUAGAUGAGAUAUUAUAUCAAGUUUAAAUCUGGAUCUAUCGAACUGGCAAAUUCCUCAUUAAUGAAAGAGCUCCUUAAGCA
This 315-nucleotide unclassified non-coding RNA is filed under the name Hevea brasiliensis (rubber tree). Lineage: Eukaryota; Viridiplantae; Streptophyta; Magnoliopsida; Malpighiales; Euphorbiaceae. The record is from RNAcentral.